This 67-nucleotide transfer RNA is filed under the name Caudoviricetes sp. Its description in RNAcentral is "tRNA-Ser". The record is from RNAcentral. Lineage: Duplodnaviria; Heunggongvirae; Uroviricota; Caudoviricetes.
GUCCUCACAAGGUAUCACAAUUGGUUUCCGGUACCAAAGGUCGCAGGUUCGAUUCCUGUCGGGGGCA